AAGUCGUAACAAGGUCUCCGUCGGUGAACCAGCGGAGGGAUCAUUAUAGAGUGUUAAAACUCCCUAAACCCGUGUGAACAAUACCUUUUGUUGCUUCGGCGAGUCGUCCCGGGCGCCGCUGCGUGCCCCGGAUCCAGGGGCUCGCCGGAGGACUCCAACUCUUGUUUUGCAAGUGGUAUCUCUGAGUGUACCAAACAAAUAAAUCAAAACUUUCAACAACGGAUCUCUUGGUUCUGGCAUCGAUGAAGAACGCAGCGAAAUGCGAUAAGUAAUGCGAAUUGCAGAAUUCAGUGAAUCAUCGAAUCUUUGAACGCACAUUGCGCCCGCCAGUAUUCUGGCGGGCAUGCCUGUCCGAGCGUCAUUUCAACCCUCGACCCCUCCUUCGCGGUGGGAUCGGUGUUGGGGAUCGCCUGUCCCUCGCGGCGGGCGCCCCCGAAAUCGAGUGGCGGUCUCGCUGUAGCCUCCUCUGUGUAGUAACAUAACACCUCGCAGGCGGAGAGCGGCGCGGCCACGCCGUAAAACCCCCGACUUCUCAAGGUUGACCUCGGAUCAGGUAGGAAUACCCGCUGAACUUA
RNAcentral lists this ribosomal RNA (575 nucleotides) under uncultured fungus. RNAcentral describes it as "eukaryotic LSU rRNA". The stretch from base 208 to 361 matches the Rfam family "5.8S ribosomal RNA". The record is from RNAcentral. Lineage: Eukaryota; Fungi.